Molecule: unclassified non-coding RNA, 241 nt
Filed under: uncultured fungus
Lineage: Eukaryota; Fungi
Description: partial contains 18S rRNA, ITS1, 5.8S rRNA, ITS2 and 28S rRNA
Source: RNAcentral
AAGGAUCAUUACAUUCAGUAGCCCAGCUACUUGUUUACACCCUUGUUUUUUUGCGUACCUAUCGUUUCCUCGGCGGGCUUGCCUGCCGGUUGGACAACUUUAUAACCUUUUUAAAUCUUCAAUCAGCGUCUGAACAAUAUACAAUAAUUACAACUUUCAACAACGGAUCUCUUGGUUCUGGCAUCGAUGAAGAACGCAGCGUAGCCAUCUGCAGCGAUGUGGAAGUAAAAGUCGUAACAAG